AUACAGAGGGUGCGAGCGUUAAUCGGAAUUACUGGGCGUAAAGCGCGCGUAGGCGGUCUAUUAAGUCAGAUGUGAAAUCCCAGGGCUCAACCUUGGAACUGCAUCUGAUACUGGUAGACUAGAGUUUUGGAGAGGGAAGUAGAAUUUCAGGUGUAGCGGUGAAAUGCAUAGAGAUCUGAAGGAAUACCAGUGGCGAAGGCGACUUCCUGGCCAAAAACUGACGCUGAGGUGCGAAAGCGUGGGUAGCAAACGGGAUUAGAUACCCUUGUAGUCC
This 274-nucleotide ribosomal RNA is filed under the name uncultured bacterium. Its description in RNAcentral is "partial 16S ribosomal RNA". It matches the Rfam family "Bacterial small subunit ribosomal RNA", at positions 523 to 796 of the family's 1533-position model. The record is from RNAcentral.